This 89-nucleotide ribosomal RNA is filed under the name Epimedium leptorrhizum. Lineage: Eukaryota; Viridiplantae; Streptophyta; Magnoliopsida; Ranunculales; Berberidaceae. The record is from RNAcentral.
UGAUCCCAUCAGAACUCCGAAGUUAAGCGUGCUUGGGCGAGAGUAGUACUAGGACGGGUGACCUCCUGGGAAGUCCUCGUGUUGCAUCC